RNAcentral lists this ribosomal RNA (954 nucleotides) under uncultured bacterium. Its description in RNAcentral is "bacterial SSU rRNA". It matches the Rfam family "Bacterial small subunit ribosomal RNA", at positions 533 to 1511 of the family's 1533-position model. The record is from RNAcentral.
UCCAAGCGUUGUUCGGAAUUACUGGGCGUAAAGAGAUGCGUAGGCGGUCCGGCAAGUUUCUACUGAAAGCUCAAGGCUCAACCUGAGACUAGUAGAAAAACUGCUGAACUAGAGAAUAUGAGGGGAACCUGGAAUUUCUGGUGUAGGAGUGAAAUCCGUAGAUAUCAGAAGGAACACCAAUGGCGAAGGCAGGGUUCUGGCAUAUUUCUGACGCUGAGGCUCGAAAGCGUGGGGAGCGAACGGGAUUAGAUACCCCGGUAGUCCACGCCGUAAACGAUGAACACUAGCUAUUGAGGGGUAUCGACCCCCUUCGAAGCGAAGCUAACGCGUUAAGUGUUCCGCCUGAGGACUACGGCCGCAAGGCUAAAACUCAAAGGAAUUGACGGGGACCCGCACAAGCGGUGGAGCGUGUUGUUUAAUUGGAUGAUAAGCCAAGAACCUUACCCAGACUUGACAUCCUUGGAAGGCUCUCGAAAGAGAACUGUGCCUUUUGGAACCAAGUGACAGGUACUGCAUGGCCGUCGUCAGCUCGUGUCGUGAGAUGUUAGGUUAAGUCCUUCAACGAGCGCAACCCUUAUGUUUAGUUGGAUUUUUCUAGACAGACUGCCUCGGUAACGGGGAGGAAGGAGGGGAUGAUGUCAGGUCCGUAUUGUCCUUACGUCUGGGGCUACAAACGCGCUACAAUGGCCGGUACAAUGAGCAGCGAAGCAGCAAUGUGUAGCAAACCUCAUCAAAGCCGGUCCCAGUUCGGAUUGCAGGCUGAAACUCGCCUGCAUGAAGGUGGAAUCGCUAGUAAUCGUAGGUCAUCACACUACGGUGAAUACGUUCCCGGGUCUUGUACACACCGCCCGUCAUACCAUGGAAGCUGGAAGCACCCGAAAUCUAAGCAUUUGCUUGGCCUAAGGUGAGACUAGUGACUGGGGUAAAGUCGUAACAAGGUAGCCGUAACNUNUC